Molecule: long non-coding RNA, 1338 nt
Filed under: Oncorhynchus mykiss (rainbow trout)
Lineage: Eukaryota; Metazoa; Chordata; Actinopteri; Salmoniformes; Salmonidae
Description: lncRNA (ENSOMYG00000061734.1)
Source: RNAcentral
AUGACACUCUCUAAUUGCUUUAUAUUCUUUUUACAUUUUGUCUCCCUCUCUCUCUCCAUCCCUGUCUCUUCCUCUCUCUCUCCAUCCCUGUCUCUUCCUCUCUCUCUCCAUCCCUCUCUUCAUCUCUCUCGCCAUCCCUGUCUCUUCCCCUCUCUCUCUCUCUCUCUCUCUCCAUCCCUGUCUCUUCCUCUCUCUCUCCAUCCCUGUCUCUUCCCCUCUCUCUCUCUCCAUUCCUGUCACUUCCUCUCUCUCUCUCCAUCCCUGUCUCUUCCUCUCUCUCUCUCCACCCCGGUCUCUUCCUCUCUCUCUCUCCACCCCUGUCUCUUCCUCUCUCUCUCUCCACCCCUGUCUCUUCCUCUCUCUCUCUCCACCCCUGUCUCUUCCUCUCUCUCUCUCCACCCCUGUCACUUCCUCUCUCUCUCUCCACCCCUGUCUCUUCCUCGCUCUCUCUCCACCCCUGUCUCUUCCUCGCUCUCUCUCCACCCCUGUCUCUUCCUCGCUCUCUCUCCACCCCUGUCUCUUCCUCGCUCUCUCUCACUCCCUGUCUCUUCCUCGCUCUCUCUCCAUCCCUGUCUCUUCCUCGCUCUCUCUCCAUCCCUGUCUCUUCCUCGCUCUCUCUCCAUCCCUGUCUCUUCCUCGCUCUCUCUCCAUCCCUGUCUCUUCCUCGCUCUCUCUCCAUCCCUGUCUCUUCCUCGCUCUCUCUCCAUCCCUGUCUCUUCCUCUCUCUCUCAUCCCUGUCUCUUCCCCUCUCUCUCUUUCUCCAUCCCUGUCUCUUCCUCUCUCUCUCUCUCUCCAUCCCUCUCUCUCUCUCUCUCAUCCCUCUCUCUCUCGCUCUCCAUCCGUCUCUUCCUCUCUCGCUCUCCAUCCCUGUCUCUCUCUCUCUCUCCAUCCGUCUCUCCCUCUCUCCAUCCCUGUCUCUCCAUCUCUCUCUCUACAUACCUCUCUCUCUCUCUUCCUCUCUCUCUCUCCAUCCCUGUCUCUUCCUCUCUCUCUCAUCCCUGUCUCUUCCUCUCUCUCUCUUUCUCCAUCCCUGUCUCUUCCUCUCUCUCUCUCUCUCUCUCCAUCCCUCUCUCGCUCUCUCAUCCCUCUCUCUCUCGCUCUCCAUCCGUCUCUUCCUCUCUCGCUCUCCAUCCCUGUCUCUCUCUCUCUCCAUCCGUCUCUCCCUCUCUCCAUCCCUGUCUCUCCAUCUCUCUCUCUACAUACCUCUCUCUCCCUCUCUCUCUCUCCAUCCCUGUCUCUUUCUCUCUCUCUCUCUCUCCAUCCCUGUCUCUUCCUCUCUUUUUCUUUCCAUUCCAUCUCGGUCUGUCUCUUUCCAUCUACCACUCUUUCAUCUCUUAG